Molecule: ribosomal RNA, 254 nt
Filed under: uncultured bacterium
Lineage: Bacteria
Description: partial 16S ribosomal RNA
Rfam family: Bacterial small subunit ribosomal RNA
Source: RNAcentral
UACGAGAGGCCCAAACGUUAUUCGGAUUUACUGGGCGUAAAGGGCGCGUAGGCGGUCAGCACAAGUCAGUUGUGAAAUCUCCGGGCUUAACUCGGAAAGGUCAACUGAUACUGUGCGACUAGAGUGCAGAAGGGGCAACUGGAAUUCUCGGUGUAGCGGUGAAAUGCGUAGAUAUCGAGAGGAACACCUGCGGCGAAGGCGGCUCUCUGGGACGGUACUGACGCUGAGACGCGAAAGCGUGGGGAGCGAACAGG